GCAGUCGUAACAAGGUUAACCACACGAGUGCUUGCACUCAAUUGGAAUGAGGAGUGGCGGACGGGUGAGUAACCCGGGGGUAACCUACCCAUCAGAGGGGGAUAACACUUGGAAACAGGUGCUAAUACCGCAUAACAGUUUAUGCCGCAUGGCAUAAGAGUGAAAGGCGCUUUCGGGUGUCGCUGAUGGAUGGACCCGCGGUGCAUUAGCUAGUUGGUGAGGUAACGGCUCACCAAGGCCACGAUGCAUAGCCGACCUGAGAGGGUGAUCGGCCACACUGGGACUGAGACACGGCCCAGACUCCUACGGGAGGCAGCAGUAGGGAAUCUUCGGCAAUGGACGAAAGUCUGACCGAGCAACGCCGCGUGAGUGAAGAAGGUUUUCGGAUCGUAAAACUCUGUUGUUAGAGAAGAACAAGGACGUUAGUAACUGAACGUCCCCUGACGGUAUCUAACCAGAAAGCCACGGCUAACUACGUGCCAGCAGCCGCGGUAAUACGUAGGUGGCAAGCGUUGUCCGGAUUUAUUGGGCGUAAAGCGAGCGCAGGCGGUUUCUUAAGUCUGAUGUGAAAGCCCCCGGCUCAACCGGGGAGGGUCAUUGGAAACUGGGAGACUUGAGUGCAGAAGAGGAGAGUGGAAUUCCAUGUGUAGCGGUGAAAUGCGUAGAUAUAUGGAGGAACACCAGUGGCGAAGGCGGCUCUCUGGUCUGUAACUGACGCUGAGGCUCGAAAGCGUGGGGAGCAAACAGGAUUAGAUACCCUGGUAGUCCACGCCGUAAACGAUGAGUGCUAAGUGUUGGAGGGUUUCCGCCCUUCAGUGCUGCAGCAAACGCAUUAAGCACUCCGCCUGGGGAGUACGACCGCAAGGUUGAAACUCAAAGGAAUUGACGGGGGCCCGCACAAGCGGUGGAGCAUGUGGUUUAAUUCGAAGCAACGCGAAGAACCUUACCAGGUCUUGACAUCCUUUGACCACUCUAGAGAUAGAGCUUUCCCUUCGGGGACAAAGUGACAGGUGGUGCAUGGUUGUCGUCAGCUCGUGUCGUGAGAUGUUGGGUUAAGUCCCGCAACGAGCGCAACCCUUAUUGUUAGUUGCCAUCAUUUAGUUGGGCACUCUAGCGAGACUGCCGGUGACAAACCGGAGGAAGGUGGGGAUGACGUCAAAUCAUCAUGCCCCUUAUGACCUGGGCUACACACGUGCUACAAUGGGAAGUACAACGAGUCGCUAGACCGUGAGGUCAUGCAAAUCUUCUAAAGCUUCUUUCAGUUCGGAUUGCAGGUUGCAACUCGCCUGCAUGAAGCCGGAAUCGCUAGUAAUCGCGGAUCAGCACGCCGCGGUGAAUACGUUCCCGGGCCUUGUACCCCCCGCCCGUCCCCCCACGAGAGUUGGUAACACCCGAAGUCG
RNAcentral lists this ribosomal RNA (1400 nucleotides) under Enterococcus faecalis. Its description in RNAcentral is "bacterial SSU rRNA". It matches the Rfam family "Bacterial small subunit ribosomal RNA". The record is from RNAcentral. Lineage: Bacteria; Bacillati; Bacillota; Bacilli; Lactobacillales; Enterococcaceae.